Panthera pardus (leopard) is the source of this 106-nucleotide small nuclear RNA. Lineage: Eukaryota; Metazoa; Chordata; Mammalia; Carnivora; Felidae. The record is from Ensembl.
GUGCUUGCUUUGGUAGCACAUAUACUAAAAUUGGAACGAUACAGAGAAGAUUAGCACGGCCCCUGCACAAGGAUGACACACAAAUUCGUGAAGCUUCCAUAUUUAA